CAGCAGUCGGGGAAUAUUGCACAAUGGGCGCAAGCCUGAUGCAGCCAUGCCGCGUGUAUGAAGAAGGCCUUCGGGUGUAAAGUACUUUCAGCAGUGAGGAAGGUGGGUAUGUUAAUAGCAUACUCAUUUGACGUUAGCUGCAGAAGAAGCACCGGCUAACUCCGUGCCAGCAAGCCGCGGUAAUACGGAGGGUGCGAGCGUUAAUCGGAAUUACUGGGCGUAAAGCGCAUGCAGGUGGUUGUUAAGUCAGAUGUGAAAGCCCGGGGCUCAACCUCGGAAUUGCAUUUGAAACUGGCAAACUAGAGUACUGUAGAGGGGGUAGAAUUUCAGGUGUAGCGGUGAAAUGCGUAGAGAUCUGAAGGAAUACCGGUGGCGAAGGCGGCCCCCUGGACAGAUACUGACACUCAGAUUGCGAAAGCGUGGGGAGCAAACAGGAUUAGAUACCCUGGUAG
This 452-nucleotide ribosomal RNA is filed under the name uncultured bacterium. RNAcentral's name for it is "bacterial SSU rRNA". It matches the Rfam family "Bacterial small subunit ribosomal RNA", at positions 349 to 793 of the family's 1533-position model. The record is from RNAcentral.